Ictidomys tridecemlineatus (thirteen-lined ground squirrel) is the source of this 71-nucleotide non-coding RNA. Lineage: Eukaryota; Metazoa; Chordata; Mammalia; Rodentia; Sciuridae. The record is from Rfam.
GGAGUUGUAGCUUAAUGGUAGAGCACUUGCCUCUCAAGUGUGAGGCACUGGGUUCGAUCCUAGCAUCACAU